RNAcentral lists this ribosomal RNA (442 nucleotides) under uncultured Oscillospiraceae bacterium. RNAcentral describes it as "bacterial SSU rRNA". It matches the Rfam family "Bacterial small subunit ribosomal RNA", at positions 338 to 795 of the family's 1533-position model. The record is from RNAcentral. Lineage: Bacteria; Bacillati; Bacillota; Clostridia; Eubacteriales; Oscillospiraceae.
CCUACGGGAGGCUGCAGUGGGGAAUAUUGGGCAAUGGGGGAAACCCUGACCCAGCAACGCCGCGUGAAGGAAGAAGGCUUUCGGGUUGUAAACUUCUUUUAUGUGGGACGAAGAAGUGACGGUACCACAUGAAUAAGCCACGGCUAACUACGUGCCAGCAGCCGCGGUAAUACGUAGGUGGCGAGCGUUGUCCGGAUUUACUGGGUGUAAAGGGCGCGUAGGCGGGAAUGCAAGUCAGGUGUGAAAUCUAUGGGCUUAACCCAUAAACUGCACUUGAAACUGUAUUUCUUGAGUGAUGGAGAGGCAAGCGGAAUUCCUAGUGUAGCGGUGAAAUGCGUAGAUAUUAGGAGGAACACCAGUGGCGAAGGCGGCCUGCUGGACAUUAACUGACGCUGAGGCGCGAAAGCGUGGGGAGCAAACAGGCUUAGAUACCCCAGUAGUC